This 462-nucleotide ribosomal RNA is filed under the name uncultured bacterium. Its description in RNAcentral is "partial 16S ribosomal RNA". It matches the Rfam family "Bacterial small subunit ribosomal RNA", at positions 28 to 507 of the family's 1533-position model. The record is from RNAcentral.
GACGAACGCUGGCGGCGUGCUUAACACAUGCAAGUCGAGCGGAAAGGCCCUUCGGGGUACUCGAGCGGCGAACGGGUGAGUAACACGUGAGUAACCUGCCCCAGACUUUGGGAUAACCCUCGGAAACGGGGGCUAAUACCGGAUACGACACAGCUUCGCAUGGGGUCUGUGUGGAAAGUUUUUCGGUUUGGGAUGGGCUCGCGGCCUAUCAGCUUGUUGGUGGGGUGAUGGCCUACCAAGGCGACGACGGGUAGCCGGCCUGAGAGGGCGACCGGCCACACUGGGACUGAGACACGGCCCAGACUCCUACGGGAGGCAGCAGUGGGGAAUAUUGCACAAUGGGCGGAAGCCUGAUGCAGCGACGCCGCGUGAGGGAUGACGGCCUUCGAGUUGUAAACCUCUUUCAGCAGGGACGAAGCGUAAGUGACGGUACCUGCAGAAGAAGCGCCGGCCAACUACGUG